This 497-nucleotide ribosomal RNA is filed under the name uncultured bacterium. RNAcentral's name for it is "partial 16S ribosomal RNA". It matches the Rfam family "Bacterial small subunit ribosomal RNA", at positions 28 to 507 of the family's 1533-position model. The record is from RNAcentral.
GACGAACGCUGGCGGCGUGCCUAAUACAUGCAAGUUGAGCGCUGAAGGUUGGUACUUGUACCGACUGGAUGAGCAGCGAACGGGUGAGUAACGCGUGGGGAAUCUGCCUUUGAGCGGGGGACAACAUUUGGAAACGAAUGCUAAUACCGCAUAAAAACUUUAAACACAAGUUUUAAGUUUGAAAGAUGCAAUUGCAUCACUCAAAGAUGAUCCCGCGUUGUAUUAGCUAGUUGGUGAGGUAAAGGCUCACCAAGGCGAUGAUACAUAGCCGACCUGAGAGGGUGAUCGGCCACAUUGGGACUGAGACACGGCCCAAACUCAUGCGGGAGGCAGCAGUAGGGAAUCUUCGGCAAUGGACGAAAGUCUGACCGAGCAACGCCGCGUGAGUGAAGAAGGUUUUCGGAUCGUAAAACUCUGUUGGUAGAGAAGAACGUUGGUGAGAGUGGAAAGCUCAUCAAGUGACGGUAACUACCCAGAAAGGGACGGCUAACUACGUG